AAAAAAAAAAAAAAAGGUGAAGGACGAACCACAGAGAAGAUCCGCGAGGUUGUCUGCUAAACCUGCUCCUCCAAAGCCAGAGCCCAAGCCUAAAAAGGCCCCUGCAAAGAAGGGAGAGAAGGUACCCAAAGGGAAAAAGGGAAAAGCUGAUGCUGGCAAGGAGGGGAAUAACCCUGCAGAAAAUGGAGAUGCCAAAACAGACCAGGCACAGAAAGCUGAAGGUGCUGGAGAUGCCAAGUGAAGUGUGUGCAUUUUUGAUAACUGUGUAUUUCUGGUGACUGUACAGUUUGAAAUACUUUUAUCAAGUUUUAUAAAAAUGCAGAAUUUUGUUUUACUUUUUUUUUUUUUUUUUUAAGCUAUGUUGUUCGCACACAGAACACUUCAUUGUUGUUUUUGGGGGAAGGGGCAUAUGUCACUAAUAGAAUGUCUCCAAAACUGGAUUGAUGUGGAGAAAACACCUUUCCCUUCCAGUUUUGAGAGACUUCCUCUUGGCUCCCAGGAGGAGGGAUUCCUUGACUUUGACACACAUGGCCACCUUGGCACAAAAGCCUUGUGCUAUGGAAAAACAAAUUUGUUUUUAUGUCCUCUUCUCCCUUUCCACGUUUCAGCAUAGACUUAACUCCCUUAAGCCCAGACAUCUGUUGAGACCUGACCCCUAGUCAUUGGUUACCAGUGUGUCAGGCAAUCUGGACUUUCCAGUGAUGCCACUGAGAUGGCACCUGUCAAAAGAGCAGUGGUUCCAUUUCUAGAUUGUGGAUCUUCAGAUAAAUUCUGCCAUUUUCGUUUCACUUCCUGAAAGUCAGGGUUGGCUUGUGAAAAGUUGUUAAACAACAUGCUAAAUGUGAAAUGUCAACCCUCACUCUCAACUUUCCCUGUUCAGAGCAUCAGAUGAAGACUUCAUUGGGUUUUAUAGUGGCUUUCUGAUUUUUGGUAGUCCAUUGAAGAAGGGAGUUUGAAAGUUGUUGUAUACUGUUAACGAUUGUCUGCCCAUGUCCUGCCUGAAAUACCAUGAUUGUUUAUGGAAAGUAUCUUUAAUAAAGCUGGAUACAGUUUGGCUUGGAAAAAAAAAAAAGAAAGUAAAUAAAACAAGGAUCUGUAAGCAAAACGUAUUUGGCAUACAAAGCACUGCAGCCUCAAUACUUAUACUUACUAUCUUAUUAUAAAUGUCUGCAAUAACAACAGCUGAUAAUAUUAGCAAUGUUUUAUUACCCUUUUUAACUAUUUGUGUAUUUGUCAGUUUAAUGACUAAAAGAGCUGGAAUGGAGCAAGAAAGGGCUGUGGUCAAAGCCGAGUCUUGUCACUUGUUCACUGAGGGCCACCAGGAAGUUUAGACUGAAGAAACUGGAAAGGAUCCACGCAAUGACCAUCCAAGUCUCAGGCUACUCAACUG
RNAcentral lists this long non-coding RNA (1390 nucleotides) under Homo sapiens (human). RNAcentral's name for it is "HSALNT0380363". The record is from RNAcentral. Lineage: Eukaryota; Metazoa; Chordata; Mammalia; Primates; Hominidae.